CAGCCGCCACGGUAAUACGUAGGGUGCAAGCGUUAUCCGGAAUUAUUGGGCGUAAAGGGCGCGUAGGCGGCCAUUCAAGUUAGAUGUGAAAGCCCUGGGCUCAACCUAGGAAUUGCAUUUGAUACUGUUUGGCUUGAGUUCGGGAGAGGUGAGUGGAAUUCCCAGUGUAGAGGUGAAAUUCGUAGAGAUCGGGAGGAACAUCAGUGGCGAAGGCGGCCAUCUGGGACAACGCUGACGCUGAGGCACGAAAGCGUGGGGAGCAAACAGGAUUAGAUACCCCCGUAGUCCCUGUCUCUUAUAC
Molecule: ribosomal RNA, 301 nt
Filed under: uncultured bacterium
Lineage: Bacteria
Description: partial 16S ribosomal RNA
Rfam family: Bacterial small subunit ribosomal RNA
Source: RNAcentral